AGGCGCGGCCUCGUGCCGUGCCGAGUUGCGAUCCCGGGCCGCCCAGGGGUCCGAUGAAGGGAGCAGCAACGGCCCGCCCCACACGCUCACGUCGUGGGGGCGGCGCUAGAGCGCACACGUUGGCACCCGAAAGAUGGUGAACUAAGCCCGGGCAGGACGAGGCCAGAGGAAACUCUGGUGGAGGUCCGAAGCGCUUCUGACGUGAAAAUCGAUCGUCCGACCCAGGUAUAGGGGCGAAAGACUAAUCGAACCAUCUAGUAGCUGGUUCCCUCCGAAGUUUCCCUCAGGAUAGCUGGCGCUUGUUGCCGAGACCAGUCACACCUGGUAAAGCGAAUGAUUAGAGGCAUUGGGGUCGAAACGACCUCAACCUAUUCUCAAACUUUCAAUGGGUGUGUCGGAGGCCUUCUGGUCUGAGGCCUCCGGAAGCGAUGAGAGUGCCAAGUGGGCCACUUUUGGUAAGCAGAACUGGCGCUGUGGGAUGAACCAAACGCCGGGGUAAGGCGCCCGAUGCGGGACGCUCAUGAGAUCCCAUGAAGGGUGUUGGUUGCUUAAAGGGCAACUCCGCUCAAUUCCAGAAAAAUUGGGAUUACUUGUGAUUCCACUUCCCAAAGCACUGAUGAACAACUUGACGUCUUUGGAUUCGCGAAAUGUGAAAUAUUUUUUGUGUAAUCGUAUUUUCAACAUUAGCAGCAACCGAAACCGAAACUUUGAAUGAGACAGGCAACAUUGGUCUCGUGUCGUCAGAGGCAUGUGCACGUUAUGACGAACCACGUGGUUCGAGCCGUCACGUGAAUCUCUCCACGAUCGCGGACGGGCGGGCGAGCGGGGAGCAAGCGCCAGUGUCGUCUGCUCCGCACUUUUCGCCAACCUAGCUCU
RNAcentral lists this non-coding RNA (876 nucleotides) under Ixodes scapularis (black-legged tick). RNAcentral describes it as "Eukaryotic large subunit ribosomal RNA". It matches the Rfam family "Eukaryotic large subunit ribosomal RNA", at positions 716 to 1313 of the family's 3401-position model. The record is from Rfam by way of RNAcentral. Lineage: Eukaryota; Metazoa; Arthropoda; Arachnida; Ixodida; Ixodidae.